Molecule: long non-coding RNA, 522 nt
Filed under: Junco hyemalis (dark-eyed junco)
Lineage: Eukaryota; Metazoa; Chordata; Aves; Passeriformes; Passerellidae
Description: lncRNA (ENSJHYG00000013238.1)
Source: RNAcentral
UAUUCCCUAAUAAACCAGGUGAAUAUGAUUUAGAUUUUUUAAAUUUUUUUUCUUUACAGUAUGAAAAUCUUCAAGAGGAAGCAGAUAAGCAGAAAUAUCACCUGCAAAUCCCUGACAUGCUGAGAGAAACUCUUGGGACUGUUCCUUGGUGCCAUAUAAGACUAGGUUUAAAAGCAAAAUAAAACCCAGGAAUAUUUGGAAGGAAAACAAAGGUGAACCUGCAAGAAGUUGGAAGAAAGAAUGUCAAGAGGACAGUGAUAACCACAGAACUGAGCACUCACCAGCAUUUGGCAGAGUUGCUCUCUCUGUAAAGAAAUAAAGCCGUUGCCACACAGCCUCAGUGACAGCACCAAAGGGAAAAAAGGCACAUGUCUAAGGAACUGCAUUAGUUUGUUGUAGAAAUUGCUCGAAAUAGUCACAUCCAUUGUCUGGAAUACUGUCUAGAAGCUUUGACACUCCAGGGACUUCACAAGUGAGUGUGGUAUCUGAAGUCAGAGUGAAAGAUUUAGAGAGAAAAUGCAG